Molecule: ribosomal RNA, 1383 nt
Filed under: Salmonella enterica subsp. enterica serovar Agona str. SA-4
Lineage: Bacteria; Pseudomonadati; Pseudomonadota; Gammaproteobacteria; Enterobacterales; Enterobacteriaceae
Description: bacterial LSU rRNA
Rfam family: Bacterial large subunit ribosomal RNA
Source: RNAcentral
GGUUAAGCGACUAAGCGUACACGGUGGAUGCCCUGGCAGUCAGAGGCGAUGAAGGGCGUGCUAAUCUGCGAUAAGCGCCGGUAAGGUGAUAUGAACCGUUAUAACCGGCGAUACCCGAAUGGGGAAACCCAGUGUGACUCGUCACACUAUCAUUAACUGAAUCCAUAGGUUAAUGAGGCGAACCGGGGGAACUGAAACAUCUAAGUACCCCGAGGAAAAGAAAUCAACCGAGAUUCCCCCAGUAGCGGCGAGCGAACGGGGAGGAGCCCAGAGCCUGAAUCAGCAUGUGUGUUAGUGGAAGCGUCUGGAAAGACGCGCGAUACAGGGUGACAGCCCCGUACACAAAAGCGUAUGUGCUGUGAGCUCGAUGAGUAGGGCGGGACACGUGGUAUCCUGUCUGAAUAUGGGGGGACCAUCCUCCAAGGCUAAAUACUCCUGACUGACCGAUAGUGAACCAGUACCGUGAGGGAAAGGCGAAAAGAACCCCGGCGAGGGGAGUGAAAAAGAACCUGAAACCGUGUACGUACAAGCAGUGGGAGCACAGGUUUACCUGUGUGACUGCGUACCUUUUGUAUAAUGGGUCAGCGACUUAUAUUCUGUAGCAAGGUUAACCGAAUAGGGGAGCCGGAGGGAAACCGAGUCUUAAUUGGGCGUUAAGUUGCAGGGUAUAGACCCGAAACCCGGUGAUCUAGCCAUGGGCAGGUUGAAGGUUGGGUAACACUAACUGGAGGACCGAACCGACUAAUGUUGAAAAAUUAGCGGAUGACCUGUGGCUGGGGGUGAAAGGCCAAUCAAACCGGGAGAUAGCUGGUUCUCCCCGAAAGCUAUUUAGGUAGCGCCUCGUGAAUUCAUCUCCGGGGGUAGAGCACUGUUUCGGCUAGGGGGUCAUCCCGACUUACCAACCCGAUGCAAACUGCGAAUACCGGAGAAUGUUAUCACGGGAGACACACGGCGGGUGCUAACGUCCGUCGUGAAGAGGGAAACAACCCAGACCGCCAGCUAAGGUCCCAAAGUCAUGGUUAAGUGGGAAACGAUGUGGGAAGGCCCAGACAGCCAGGAUGUUGGCUUAGAAGCAGCCAUCAUUUAAAGAAAGCGUAAUAGCUCACUGGUCGAGUCGGCCUGCGCGGAAGAUGUAACGGGGCUAAACCAUGCACCGAAGCUGCGGCAGCGACACUCAGGUGUUGUUGGGUAGGGGAGCGUUCUGUAAGCCUGCGAAGGUGGCCUGUGAGGGUUGCUGGAGGUAUCAGAAGUGCGAAUGCUGACUAUAAGUAACGAUAAAGCGGGUAGAAAACGCCCGCUCGCCGGAAGACCGAAGGGUUCCUGUCCAACGUUAAGUCGGGCAGGGUGAGUCGACCCUAAGGCGAGGCCGAAAGGCGUAGUCGA